CCUACGGGAGGCAGCAGUAGGGAAUCUUCCACAAUGGGCGAAAGCCUGAUGGAGCAACGCCGCGUGGGUGAAGAAGGUCUUCGGAUCGUAAAACCCUGUUGUUAGAGAAGUAAGUGCGUGAGAGUAACUGUUCACGUUUCGACGGUAUCUAACCAGAAAGCCACGGCUAACUACGUGCCAGCAGCUGCGGUAAUACGUAGGUGGCGAGCGUUAUCCGGAUUUAUUGGGCGUAAAGGGAACGCAGUCGGUCUUUUAAGUCUGAUGUGAAAGGCUUCGGCUUAACCGGAGUAGUGCAUUGGAGACUGGGAGACUUGAGUACAGAAGAGGAAGGUGGAACUCGAUGUGUAGCGGUGAAAUGCGUAGAUAUAUGGAAGAACCCCGGUGGCGAAGGCAGCUUUCUAGUCUGUAACUGACACUGAGGUUCGAAAGCGUGGGUAGCAAACAGGAUUAGAUACCCUUGUAGUC
Molecule: ribosomal RNA, 465 nt
Filed under: uncultured bacterium
Lineage: Bacteria
Description: partial 16S ribosomal RNA
Rfam family: Bacterial small subunit ribosomal RNA
Source: RNAcentral